AACUUUCAGCAACGGAUCUCUUGGCUCUCGCAUCGAUGAAGAACGCAGCGAAAUGCGAUAAGUAAUGUGAAUUGCAGAAUUCAGUGAAUCAUCGAAUCUUUGAACGCACCUUGCACUCCUUGGUAUUCCGAGGAGUAUGCCUGUUUGAGUGU
This 152-nucleotide ribosomal RNA is filed under the name Cortinarius violaceus. RNAcentral describes it as "5.8S ribosomal RNA". It matches the Rfam family "5.8S ribosomal RNA". From Rfam's summary of the family: 5.8S ribosomal RNA (5.8S rRNA) is a component of the large subunit of the eukaryotic ribosome. It is transcribed by RNA polymerase I as part of the 45S precursor that also contains 18S and 28S rRNA. RNAcentral also lists the same sequence under 4 other names. Lineage: Eukaryota; Fungi; Basidiomycota; Agaricomycetes; Agaricales; Cortinariaceae. The record is from RNAcentral.